This 705-nucleotide long non-coding RNA is filed under the name Neogale vison (American mink). Its description in RNAcentral is "Neovison vison (American mink) lncRNA (ENSNVIG00000021189.1)". The record is from RNAcentral. Lineage: Eukaryota; Metazoa; Chordata; Mammalia; Carnivora; Mustelidae.
CCCGGUGCGUCCACAGCCCGGGAGGGGAGGCGGCCGCUGCGGCUCCCGCACGCAGACUGCUUGCGGCCCGGGUCUCGCGCUCCCUCGCGAGCCCCGCGGCCCCUACCCCGGGCCCAUCUCCGUAUACUGUCAGAAAAAUAAAUAAAGGAAAGAGGAGCCUGGGCAGGCGGUCGGGAUCUCUUCCCUCCCUCCGCGCCCGCCCUCCCUCUGUCCUUAAGGAAAUGCUACCAGACACCCCCCACCAGACACGCUCAGCCUUGGCGAGGAGCGGCCGCCGCGGCAGCGAGAACAAGGGCACCAGGGGGGUUUCCUCCUCCUCCUCCUCUCCCUCCUCUUCCUCCUUCUCCUCUCCGUCCUCCUCCUCCUCCUUCUCAGCGGUGACUUUCCAGGGUAUUACUAAGAAUAUGAGGCAGGCAGAAGGAGAGCGGUGUAGAAAUGGAAUUUUGAGGGUCUUUGGAAGAUGCAGGUGCCCUCCUUCCUUAUUCAGGGUAAGCUUUCCUAGAGGCCUUUUUCCAGGAGGGUCGGAUUUUGGUUUUGAGUGGGCGGCAUCUUCAGUAUCAGUUCAGACCGUAAUUCUUUCUUUCUUUCUUUCUUUUUUUUUUUUUUAAGAUUUUAUUUAUUUAUUUGACAGAUCACAAGUAGGCAGAGAGGCAGGCAGAGAGAGAGGGGAAGCAGGCCCCCUGCUGAGCAGAAAGCCUGAUUCAG